CUGACCAUGCAAAAUGAUCGCUGGGUUUUUUAACCUGGAGGAAAGUCCGAACACCACAGGACAGGACGCUCCAUAACGUGGAGUCACGGUGACGUGAAGGAAAGUGCAACAGAGAGUAGACCGCCUGGGUUGGUAUCCAAUCCGGGUAAGGGUGAAACGGUGCGGUAAGAGCGCACCAGUUUUCCAGGUGACUGGAAAAGCUUGGUAAACCCCGUCCGGUGCAAGACCAAAUAGGGAAACGCUUGAGGGUUGUCCGCCCAAGUUUUCGGGUAGGUCGCAUGAGGUGUGCGGUAACGUACAUCCCAGAUGAAUGAUCGUUGACCUGCUUAAGGUAACGAGAGCAGGUAACAGAAUUCGGCUUAUCAACGGGUCAGGCCG
This 378-nucleotide RNase P RNA is filed under the name Deltaproteobacteria bacterium. Its description in RNAcentral is "RNase P RNA component class A". It matches the Rfam family "Bacterial RNase P class A". From Rfam's summary of the family: Ribonuclease P (RNase P) is a ubiquitous endoribonuclease, found in archaea, bacteria and eukarya as well as chloroplasts and mitochondria. Its best characterised activity is the generation of mature 5'-ends of tRNAs by cleaving the 5'-leader elements of precursor-tRNAs. The record is from RNAcentral. Lineage: Bacteria; Pseudomonadati; Myxococcota; Myxococcia.